GACGAACGCUGGCGGCGUGCUUAACACAUGCAAGUCGAACGGUAAGGCCCUUCGGGGUACACGAGUGGCGAACGGGUGAGUAACACGUGGGUGAUCUGCCCUGCACUUCGGGAUAAGCCUGGGAAACUGGGUCUAUUACCGGAGAGGACCACUGCCUGCAAGGGUGGUGGGGGAAAGCGUUUGCGGUGUGGGAUGGGCCCGCGGGCUAUCAGCUUGUUGGUGGGGUGAUGGCCUACCAAGGCGACGACGGGUAGCCGGCCUGAGAGGGUGACCGGCCACACUGGGACUGAGAUACGGCGCAGACUCCUACGGGAGGCAGCAGUGGGGAAUAUUGCACAAUGGGCGCAAGCCUGAUGCAGCGACGCCGCGUGAGGGAUGACGGCCUUCGGGUUGUAAACCUCUUUCAGCACCGACGAAGCGCAAGUGACGGUAGGUGCAGAAGAAGGACCGGCCAACUACGUGCCAGCAGCCGCCGUAA
RNAcentral lists this ribosomal RNA (478 nucleotides) under uncultured bacterium. Its description in RNAcentral is "partial 16S ribosomal RNA". It matches the Rfam family "Bacterial small subunit ribosomal RNA", at positions 28 to 523 of the family's 1533-position model. The record is from RNAcentral.